Molecule: RNA transcript, 1893 nt
Organism: Panicum hallii
Lineage: Eukaryota; Viridiplantae; Streptophyta; Magnoliopsida; Poales; Poaceae
Exons: 7
Source: RefSeq, a predicted model, not a curated record
GGAAGGAAGGGUGGUUUCCUCUGCAUGAUGUUUGUGCGCUCUGACUGAGGGAGGACGUGAAGCGCAAAUUGCGGCCAGGAAAGGUGAGCGGGAUGACGAAAAUCCGGGCGCUCCAUAUGGUUUCGGCCGCGGGACGCGUUCGCAGCGAGCGGAGCGAAAUCAAUCGGACCAAGGAUGCGAUUGGAGCAGCUGGACGACGGCAGACGAUGGCUUUUGGCAGGACGACGACCGCACGUGCGACGCGACGUACGAAGCCGCAACUCCUCAGUUGCCUUUGCCUUUCGCAUCGCAAUCUGGAUCUGGAGCUGGAUGGGGCGACGCGGCCCCGCCGCAAGCGACCGCCGCCACCGCGGCGGCGGCGGCUCCGUCCCCCUACCCCUCCUCGGGAGACGACGCCCAUUAUUUAUUGUGAGGCCCCUUCCCCGCUUCCAUUGACGAGUUAGGGAUCGGAACUCGGGUGUUGCCCGGAAUUAGGUGGAGGACCAAGGGCAGGAUGGUGUUGUUGGUAGCGGAUCUGAAGGGGACGAUGCAGUGGUUAGGCGGCUGUGGCAGUUCCUUCAGGCUGAGGGGCCUCCAUUUUUGUUUUUUGCUUUAAUCAAUCCUGCUUGUCUAAAUUUGCUUGACUUUGUGUUCACAGUUAAUGCUGCUGGCCUAACUUUGCUUGACUCGUGUCUUCACAAUUAAGUGGUUGGGCAAUCAUGGGGUGAUCUUGCUGCUGUUUGAGACUCCUACAGGCUUUGCGCUAUUGAGUUAUCAUGGGAUAGAACUCUUUCGCUCAGAUGCCUUGGAGGUUGUCUUUCAAGAAGAUUUUCAAGUUUUUGAGGAGAAGGCCAGUGCAAUUACUCUUCAAACUGGUGUUAGUGAUCAGCUCGCUGGAAUGAACAAGGAGUGGCUUAACCCUGGCAGACACUUGCUGUUGGAAAUGCUACUUAUAAAACAAUCAUUGAAGCAAAGCUGGGAAUAUAUUGCUUGUUUAAUGAUGCUAAGAUCGAAGUGUUGUGGGGCCUGAAGAAUCUCAUGAAGAGUAUGGUGCCUGAUGAAAAAUCAGACCUGACUGAUGAGGACCGCCCACAGAUGUGUCAAGGAAUGAAAAUGGUCCUGGAUCGUCACAACAUUUAUGUUAAGCCAGAGAUGAUUAAUAGGCCUAUAAUUGAGAUGACAUGCUGUGUGUAUGAAUUCGACUUUUGUUUGAGGAGGAAACACAUUGAAAUCUUGCGCCGAGGUGGACGAUCUCUUCUGAAGGUAUCUAAAAUCAAUUGUGAACAGUGGAACUGUAUGAAACUUGCAACUGCUCUUAAGUUGGUAUGCUACCCUGAAGAAGGAAUCGAGCUCGGUAACUCUCCAGAGAUGUUGUUAGUGGAUGAGGCAAGAAAACUGAGAGGUGAUGCACAUCAAUAUGAAGGUGAAUUUAAAAAAUACACCUUUUUGACAAUCUACAAAGAAGCUGUGUGGGCUUGUGAUCUUAGGACUAAGGCCCUAAGAUGCUUGCGUACCUUGGUCAAGGAGGCCAUGCAGCUAAGUGCAGAAACGCGUGAGGGGGAACCAAACAGUUUGGUUGGAGAUACGGGAUUGAAGCUCCCACGCAGAUGGAGCCGGUGGAGGAGGCCAAUCAUGACGUGCAUGUUCCUGGAGGCGAACCUGGCCUGAUGGGAAGCUAGCUGCACACUAUCGAGAAGAAUUAAGAGUUCAGGCUUGGCCUGCUGUCUACGUUUCUGCAUGUUUCUUUUCUGCUAACGUAGAUCAUCUAACUUUGCGCGUAUCGGGAAUGCCUACAGUGAGAGCUAGAAGAACUAUGUAAUGAACUCAAUUAUUUUAUCCUGUUAAAUAGUUAUGGAAUGAGGUUGUUGCUCUAAAAGCUACUGAUUAUGCUGGCAAUUAAGAACGUUGUCUAUU